AAAGUAGUGUCCAUAAACCAAAAUUUCCAACAGACCAUAUGGCACUAUCAUGGAGGGUGUCAAGUUGGGAGGGUUGUUGAUAAAGGAUAUAGAGUUCUUGGUAUUGAUUCUCUGAGGGUUAUUGAUGGUUCAACGUUUUAUCACACCCCGGGUGCUAAUCCUCAAGCUACUGUCAUGAUGCUUGGAAGGCAAGCAUACUUGGAAAACAUAUCAUAUAUACAUAAUCUUCACGAAAAUCUUCUACUAAUUGCUGCUUAAACCUGCAUUUUGGUUUCGUUUGUUAUGCAUGUGGUGCAGGUACAUGGGGCAAAGGAUUAUGCAUGACAGAUUAGUCCAUGGAUCAAAACAGAAAAAUUGA
This 358-nucleotide long non-coding RNA is filed under the name Prunus dulcis (almond). RNAcentral describes it as "sRNA ncRNA". Lineage: Eukaryota; Viridiplantae; Streptophyta; Magnoliopsida; Rosales; Rosaceae. The record is from RNAcentral.